Molecule: ribosomal RNA, 490 nt
Filed under: uncultured bacterium
Lineage: Bacteria
Description: bacterial SSU rRNA
Rfam family: Bacterial small subunit ribosomal RNA
Source: RNAcentral
GAUGAACGCUAGCUACAGGCUUAACACAUGCAAGUCGAGGGGCAGCAUUAUCGAAGCUUGCUUUGAUAGAUGGCGACCGGCGCACGGGUGAGUAACGCGUAUCCAACCUUCCCUAUAGUAGGGGAUAGCCCGGCGAAAGUCGGAUUAAUACCCUAUGUUAUUCGAUGCGGACAUCUAAGUUGAAUCAAAGAUUUAUCGCUAUAGGAUGGGGAUGCGUCUGAUUAGCUUGUCGGCGGGUAACGGCCCACCGAGGCAACGAUCAGUAGGGGUUCUGAGAGGAAGGUCCCCCACAUUGGUACUGAGACACGGACCAAACUCCUACGGGAGGCAGCAGUGAGGAAUAUUGGUCAAUGGGCGCGAGCCUGAACCAGCCAAGUAGCGUGCAGGAAGACUGCCCUAUGGGUUGUAAACUGCUUUUAUGGGGGAUAAAGUCCGCUACGCGUAGCGGUUUGCAUGUACCUCAUGAAUAAGGACCGGCUAAUUCCGUGCC